This 253-nucleotide ribosomal RNA is filed under the name uncultured bacterium. RNAcentral's name for it is "partial 16S ribosomal RNA". It matches the Rfam family "Bacterial small subunit ribosomal RNA", at positions 524 to 776 of the family's 1533-position model. The record is from RNAcentral.
CACGUAGGGCGCGAGCGUUGUCCGGAAUUAUUGGGCGUAAAGAGCUCGUAGGCGGCUUGUCGCGUCGACUGUGAAAUCCCGAGGCUCAACUUCGGGCUUGCAGUCGAUACGGGCAGGCUAGAGUUCGGCAGGGGAGACUGGAAUUCCUGGUGUAGCGGUGAAAUGCGCAGAUAUCAGGAGGAACACCGGUGGCGAAGGCGGGUCUCUGGGCCGAUACUGACACUGAGGAGCGAAAGCGUGGGGAGCGAACAGG